CCUACGGGAGGCAGCAGUGAGGAAUAUUGGUCAAUGGACGAGAGUCUGAACCAGCCAAGUAGCGUGAAGGAUGACUGCCCUAUGGGUUGUAAACUUCUUUUAUAUGGGAAUAAAAUGUUCCACGUGUGGGAUUUUGUAUGUACCAUAUGAAUAAGGAUCGGCUAACUCCGUGCCAGCAGCCGCGGUAAUACGGAGGAUCCGAGCGUUAUCCGGAUUUAUUGGGUUUAAAGGGAGCGUAGGUGGAUUGUUAAGUCAGUUGUGAAAGUUUGCGGCUCAACCGUAGAAUUGCAGUUGAAACUGGCAGUCUUGAGUACAGUAGAGGUAGGCGGAAUUCGUGGUGUAGCGGUGAAAUGCUUAGAUAUCACGAAGAACUCCGAUUGCGAAGGCAGUUCACUGGACUGCAACUGACACUGAGGCUCGAAAGUGUGGGUAUCAAACAGGAUUAGAUACCCUAGUAGUC
Molecule: ribosomal RNA, 460 nt
Filed under: uncultured bacterium
Lineage: Bacteria
Description: partial 16S ribosomal RNA
Rfam family: Bacterial small subunit ribosomal RNA
Source: RNAcentral